RNAcentral lists this ribosomal RNA (254 nucleotides) under uncultured bacterium. RNAcentral describes it as "partial 16S ribosomal RNA". It matches the Rfam family "Bacterial small subunit ribosomal RNA", at positions 524 to 776 of the family's 1533-position model. The record is from RNAcentral.
UACGUAGGGGUCGAGCGUUGUCCGGAGUUACUGGGCGUAAAGCGCACGCAGGCGGUCUGCUAAGUUUGGAGUGACAGUUGGUGGCUUAACUGCCAAAGUGCUUCGAAAACUGACAGACUUGAGGGCUUCAGAGGGACACGGAAUUCCGGGUGGAGUGGUGAAAUGCGUAGAGAUCCGGAGGAACACCAAAGGCGAAGGCAGUGUCCUGGGGAGUACCUGACGCUCAUGCACGACAGCGUGGGGGAUCAAACAGG